GACGAACGCUGGCGGCGCGCCUAACACAUGCAAGUCGAACGAGAGAUGAGGAGCUUGCUCUUCAAAUCGAGUGGCGAACGGGUGAGUAACGCGUGAGGAACCUGCCUCAAAGAGGGGGACAACAGUUGGAAACGACUGCUAAUACCGCAUAAGCCCACGGCUCGGCAUCGAGCAGGGGGAAAAGGAGCAAUCCGCUUUGAGAUGGCCUCGCGUCCGAUUAGCUAGUUGGUGAGGUAAUGGCCCACCAAGGCGACGAUCGGUAGCCGGACUGAGAGGUUGAACGGCCACAUUGGGACUGAGACACGGCCCAGACUCCUACGGGAGGCAGCAGUGGGGAAUAUUGCACAAUGGGGGAAACCCUGAUGCAGCGACGCCGCGUGGAGGAAGAAGGUCUUCGGAUUGUAAACUCCUGUUGUUGAGGAAGAUAAUGACGGUACUCAAC
This 442-nucleotide ribosomal RNA is filed under the name uncultured bacterium. RNAcentral describes it as "bacterial SSU rRNA". It matches the Rfam family "Bacterial small subunit ribosomal RNA", at positions 28 to 483 of the family's 1533-position model. The record is from RNAcentral.